AUUGAACGCUAGCGGGAUGCUUUACACAUGCAAGUCGAACGGCAGCGCGGACUUCGGUCUGGCGGCGAGUGGCGAACGGGUGAGUAAUGUAUCGGAACGUGCCCAGUAGCGGGGGAUAACUACGCGAAAGCGUAGCUAAUACCGCAUACGCCCUACGGGGGAAAGCAGGGGAUCGUAAGACCUUGCAAUCUUGGAGCGGCCGAUAUCGGAUUAGCUAGUUGGUGAGGUAACGGCUCACCAAGGCGACGAUCCGUAGCUGGUUUGAGAGGACGACCAGCCACACUGGGACUGAGACACGGCCCAGACUCCUACGGGAGGCAGCAGUGGGGAAUUUUGGACAAUGGGGGCAACCCUGAUCCAGCCAUCCCGCGUGUGCGAUGAAGGCCUUCGGGUUGUAAAGCACUUUUGGCAGGAAAGAAACGUCGCGGGCUAAUACCCCGUGGAACUGACGGUACCUGCAGAAUAAGCACCGGCUAACUACGUG
RNAcentral lists this ribosomal RNA (484 nucleotides) under uncultured bacterium. RNAcentral describes it as "partial 16S ribosomal RNA". It matches the Rfam family "Bacterial small subunit ribosomal RNA", at positions 30 to 507 of the family's 1533-position model. The record is from RNAcentral.